This 244-nucleotide ribosomal RNA is filed under the name uncultured bacterium. Its description in RNAcentral is "partial 16S ribosomal RNA". It matches the Rfam family "Bacterial small subunit ribosomal RNA", at positions 528 to 772 of the family's 1533-position model. The record is from RNAcentral.
UAGGUGGCGAGCGUUAUCCGGAUUUAUUGGGCGUAAAGCGUGCGCAGGCGGUUUGUUAAGUCUAAAAUCAAAGCCCGAAGCUUAACUUCGGUUCGUUUUAGAAACUGGCAGGCUUGAGUAUGGUAGAGGCAAACGGAAUUUCGAGUGUAGCUGUAAAAUGCAUAGAUAUUAGAAGGAACACCAGUGGCGAAGGCGGUUUGCUGGGCCAUUACUGACGCUCAUGCACGAAAGCGUGGGGAGCAAA